CUGGCGGAUUCUCUCAGCUGUGAGAGGAACGCAGAUCAGGCCACGUGCAUGUUUCGCCAUGAAGUUGAUAGCCUCUGGUGUGACCUUCUCAGCGGCAAUCACCA
RNAcentral lists this antisense RNA (104 nucleotides) under Methanothrix thermoacetophila PT. Its description in RNAcentral is "Methanosaeta thermophila PT Vibrio RNA AS9". It matches the Rfam family "Vibrio RNA AS9". From Rfam's summary of the family: Identified by direct cloning an parallel sequencing experiments with 5S/tRNA depletion. Confirmed by Northern blot. The record is from Rfam by way of RNAcentral. Lineage: Archaea; Methanobacteriati; Methanobacteriota; Methanomicrobia; Methanotrichales; Methanotrichaceae.